CAAACUGCGGUGUCACAUGGGAUCACCGCCACUCUCCUAUCCUCUACACUCCCUUUCUUCUCCCUUUCUCUACACCCUUUCCUUCUCCCUUCCACGUAACCCAUAAACCAAACAAAAACUAACUACACCCACGUGUCGAGUUAUAAUGAAACUCCACAUUCCUUUACGCUGCACCCUAACGCAGUUGAACACACUCCACAC
RNAcentral lists this long non-coding RNA (201 nucleotides) under Lupinus angustifolius (narrow-leaved blue lupine). Its description in RNAcentral is "long non-coding RNA (LANG_LNC002242)". The record is from RNAcentral. Lineage: Eukaryota; Viridiplantae; Streptophyta; Magnoliopsida; Fabales; Fabaceae.